GACAGAGGAUGCAAGCGUUAUCCGGAAUGAUUGGGCGUAAAGCGUCUGUAGGUGGCUUUUAAGUCCGCCGUCAAAUCCCAGGGCUCAACCCUGGACAGGCGGUGGAAACUACCAAGCUGGAGUACGGUAGGGGCAGAGGGAAUUUCCGGUGGAGCGGUGAAAUGCGGUAGAGAUCGGAAAGAACACCAACGGCGGAAAGCACUCUGCUGGCCGACACUGACACUGAGAGCACGAAGCUAGGGGAGCGAAUGGG
RNAcentral lists this ribosomal RNA (253 nucleotides) under uncultured bacterium. RNAcentral's name for it is "partial 16S ribosomal RNA". It matches the Rfam family "Bacterial small subunit ribosomal RNA", at positions 524 to 776 of the family's 1533-position model. The record is from RNAcentral.